RNAcentral lists this ribosomal RNA (631 nucleotides) under uncultured Pseudomonas sp. RNAcentral's name for it is "bacterial SSU rRNA". It matches the Rfam family "Bacterial small subunit ribosomal RNA", at positions 76 to 703 of the family's 1533-position model. The record is from RNAcentral. Lineage: Bacteria; Pseudomonadati; Pseudomonadota; Gammaproteobacteria; Pseudomonadales; Pseudomonadaceae.
AAGCUUGCUUCUCUUGAGAGCGGCGGACGGGUGAGUAAUGCCUAGGAAUCUGCCUGGUAGUGGGGGAUAACGUUCGGAAACGGACGCUAAUACCGCAUACGUCCUACGGGAGAAAGCAGGGGACCUUCGGGCCUUGCGCUAUCAGAUGAGCCUAGGUCGGAUUAGCUAGUUGGUGGGGUAAUGGCUCACCAAGGCGACGAUCCGUAACUGGUCUGAGAGGAUGAUCAGUCACACUGGAACUGAGACACGGUCCAGACUCCUACGGGAGGCAGCAGUGGGGAAUAUUGGACAAUGGGCGAAAGCCUGAUCCAGCCAUGCCGCGUGUGUGAAGAAGGUCUUCGGAUUGUAAAGCACUUUAAGUUGGGAGGAAGGGCAGUUACCUAAUACGUGAUUGUUUUGACGUUACCGACAGAAUAAGCACCGGCUAACUCUGUGCCAGCAGCCGCGGUAAUACAGAGGGUGCAAGCGUUAAUCGGAAUUACUGGGCGUAAAGCGCGCGUAGGUGGUUUGUUAAGUUGGAUGUGAAAUCCCCGGGCUCAACCUGGGAACUGCAUUCAAAACUGACUGACUAGAGUAUGGUAGAGGGUGGUGGAAUUUCCUGUGUAGCGGUGAAAUGCGUAGAUAUAGGAAG